RNAcentral lists this ribosomal RNA (253 nucleotides) under uncultured Gemmata sp. RNAcentral describes it as "partial 16S ribosomal RNA". It matches the Rfam family "Bacterial small subunit ribosomal RNA", at positions 524 to 776 of the family's 1533-position model. Lineage: Bacteria; Pseudomonadati; Planctomycetota; Planctomycetia; Gemmatales; Gemmataceae. The record is from RNAcentral.
GACAAACCGUGCAAACGUUGUUCGGAAUCACUGGGCUUAAAGGGCGCGUAGGCGGCUUACCAAGUCGGGGGUGAAAUCUUUCGGCUUAACCGGAAAACAGCUUUCGAUACUGGUAGGCUUGAGUGAGGUAGGGGCAUGCGGAACUUCCGGUGGAGCGGUGAAAUGCGUUGAUAUCGGAAGGAACGCCGGUGGCGAAAGCGGCGUGCUGGACCUCUUCUGACGCUGAUGCGCGAAAGCUAGGGGAGCGAACGGG